CAUUGCCUUUCUUCUGAUCUCUACUCUCAUUUCCAUCAAGAAAAUCUAGAACAUCUUCUGAUAUCAGAGACUAAUCUAAUCAAAUAGAAUAAAGAAAGAAAGAAAAGCUCACCAUCUACUGCGAGAACUGUGUCUCUGUCUCUCAUCAGUUAAACACUCACUCAAGUGUGUCAUAUCUACAUUAUUGAAGAUGGGAAUGCAGACAGAUGGAUUGAAAUCAGCUGUAUAAAGAUUUACAAAGAAUUUAUUAAAAAUAUUUGAGUGAGCAUUUUCUAUCAAAGACUGAUUCUCAUGAUAAUCUUUGAAAGAGAGGCAAGAUGAAGUAUGUAAAAGACAAUAGAAAGGAGAUGAAUAAAAGGA
RNAcentral lists this small RNA (360 nucleotides) under Histoplasma capsulatum var. duboisii H88. RNAcentral describes it as "Histoplasma capsulatum H88 hypothetical RNA". The record is from RNAcentral. Lineage: Eukaryota; Fungi; Ascomycota; Eurotiomycetes; Onygenales; Ajellomycetaceae.